This is an RNA transcript of Acinonyx jubatus (cheetah), 8286 nucleotides long. It is a transcript of the gene named cyclin H, with no coding region annotated. Lineage: Eukaryota; Metazoa; Chordata; Mammalia; Carnivora; Felidae. The record is from RefSeq and is a predicted model, not a curated record. The transcript is spliced from 10 exons.
AGUCCGCUCCGGAAACGCGACUGCGGACGGAGGUACCACGUGAUCGUAACGUCAACGCGCCGGCGCCCGCCGAACUGACGCGCUCGGCUUCGGCGGGUUAGUGGUCGGGGCUUAGGUGAUCUCCCACCCCCGUGUUGUGGCGUUUGGGGUCUUUUUCUCCAGACUUCCUGGCCCUGCUCUGGGAUUUCACGAUGUACCACAACAGUAGCCAGAAGCGGCACUGGACUUUCGCCAGUGAGGAGCAGCUAGCACGACUGCGGGCGGACGCCAACCGUAAAUUCAAAUGCAAAGCGGUCGCCAACGGGAAGGUUCUUCCAAAUGAUCCAGUCUUUCUUGAGCCUCACGAAGAAAUGAUGCUCUGCAAAUACUAUGAGAAGAGAUUAUUAGAAUUCUGUUCAGUGUUUAAGCCAGCAAUGCCACGGUCUGUUGUGGGCACAGCUUGUAUGUAUUUCAAGCGUUUUUAUCUUAAUAAUUCAGUAAUGGAAUAUCACCCCCGGAUAAUAAUGCUCACUUGUGCAUUUUUGGCCUGCAAAGUAGAUGAAUUCAAUGUAUCUAGUCCACAGUUUGUUGGAAAUCUGCGGGAGAGUCCUCUUGGACAGGAGAAGGCACUCGAACAGAUUUUGGAAUACGAACUACUUCUUAUACAACAACUGAAUUUCCACCUUAUUGUCCACAAUCCUUAUAGACCAUUUGAGGGCUUUCUCAUUGAUUUAAAGACUCGCUACCCCAUGAUGGAGAAUCCAGAGAUGUUGAGGAAAACAGCCGAUGACUUUCUUAAUAGAAUUGCAUUAACAGAUGCUUACCUUUUAUACACACCUUCCCAAAUUGCCCUGACUGCCAUUUUAUCUAGUGCAUCUCGAGCAGGAAUUACUAUGGAAAGUUAUUUAUCAGAAAGUCUGAUGUUGAAAGAGAACAGAACUUGCUUGUCACAGUUACUAGAUAUAAUGAAAAGUAUGAGAAACUUGGUAAAAAAAUAUGAACCACCCAGAUCUGAAGAAGUUGCUGUUCUGAAACAGAAGUUAGAGAGAUGUCACUCUGCUGAGCUUGCCCUUAACAUAAUUACGAAGAAGAGGAAAGGCUAUGAAGAUGAUGAUUAUGUCUCAAAGAAACCCAAACAUGAGGAGGUAUGUUGUCCAAAGGAAGAAUGGACUGACGAUGACCUGGUUGAUUCUCUCUAACCAUUUGAAAUUGACUUUUCAAUGCUAACUAAUCAACAGAAGGAUGAAACCUAUCUGGCAUUUAAGUUUAUUUAAAAAUGAAAUGAUGUGAAAGCAUUAAAGAUAGUAAAUUUUCUAUUUUUGUUAGUUAAAUUUUCUUCCCUUUCAGGAUAGCUUUAUGUGAAAUAAAACCUUUUCAAAGGGGCCAGAAUAGCACCUGGUUUAGAUAGUCUUGCCCCAUCAUGACUAGUAUCAAAUUAAUCUUUCUAUAGUAGUGAAAGCUGUAAUUUAUUUGCCUGUAUUGUUUAAAACAAAUUACAAUAUGCAAACCUAUUUUUUAAGGAAAAGCACAAAAGUUAAAAAAACCGAGUAGUCUGCUUUAAAUGUGCUAGGGAAUGUUUUUCACUCUCUACAAGCCUUUAUAUAAAUGGUUUCUCAAAUGUCACUGUGAUCUACUUAACUUUUUGUAGGUUACUACUGAACUACAAAAUGCGCUUCAGCUGUCAAGUGGUAGUCAGUAUUUGUUUUCCUCAGUUAUCUGAAAACAUUACCAAAUAGGUUUCUAAAAGAGAAAUCAAGUAAAUAUGCAGUCUUUUAUUUUUUUUUAACAUUUUUUUAAUGUUUAUUUUUGAACGAGAGACAGAGCAGGGGAGGGGCAGAAAGAGAGGGCGACACAGAAUCCAAGCUUUGAGCUGUCAGCACAGAGCCUGACGCAGGGCUUGAACUUCAUGAACUGCAAGAUCGUGAUGCAAGCCGAAGUUGGGACGUGUAACCAAUUGGAAGCCACCCAGGCAUCCUGGUAAAUAUGCAGUCUUGAAUAGUUAUCUCGAUAAAAAUAUUAAGUUGCUAUUAACCAGUAGAUAGGUGUUACAGUUACUAAGAAUUUUUCAAAUUAAAGAUGUUUAAGAAGUUUAAUUCGAAUUGAAGGGAGUUGAUAUUAAAUGUAACUCCACAGACCUCUGUGCCAAUUUCCUAAGGUGCAAAUGGGGAAAAUAAUCACCUAUGUUUCCUAGGAUUAAUUGGAAUAGUGGCUGCCUAUAUUAAGUGUUAAUAAAUGUUGGAUAGAAAUAGUAUUCAGGUAUUUAACUGUGAUUUUACUAUUGUUUUAUUCAUAAUUUGGAACCAAAUUAUGGAUGUCGAAUUUUUUCUGGAAUACUGGUUGAAGGAAUUCGGCAAAACUCAGCCCGUGAAUCUGAAUGUUAUGGAUACACAGCUUUUCUCAAUGUCUGUGCAUCCCAGGCUGCACCUUCCAUUUAGAGUAUAUUUUAAUUACAUCUCAGUAUUUGAGGACAGUAUUUACUAUAUGCAUAUUCUUCUAAUAAUUUUUUAUAUUUUAGGUUUUUUAUUUUUAGUUCCUUCUCACUUUAGAAUGAGGAAUGAAGUUCAUUAAGUGUGAUUUUAUAAAAGUCGAAUAGAAGAAGCUUAAGUUGACCAUUUUCCAGUGCAUUCCAAGUUAUGUAGCAGUGCUGCUAGCCUCUAGACAGCACUGCGGAGUGUUGGUAAUUUACCUUGUUUGUCUUUUAGGUCAGUAAGCUUUGGCAUCUGAGCAAAGUCCACAUUUAUCUCUGCAAAGUCUCCUACCCAGCCCCAUUUUAAAAGUUUUAGAGGCUUUAUUUCAUGAUUGACCCAACUAGUUACUGCAAGUUCCACCCUACAAAGUUACCAAAGCCGAACUAGUUUAAUUACCUCUGUGCCCUGUCUCACCCCACGAUCUCACCACUCCAAUCUGGAUUCUUCAGUUUCAACUGCAACUUUGUCCUGCACUAAGGUACACCAAACAAAAAACAAACAAACAAACAAAAUGUAAAAACCAAACCUUUAAUACUGCUCUACUUCCUAAAAAUUCCUUUUAUAAAACCAAAAUCCUUUAUCAUAGAACUCAAGUCUACAUUUCCUGUCUCAUACUACCAACUCUCUUAAGCUAUCUAUACCAUGGUCACACAUAACUACCUAUUUGCUAAUCCACAUUCUCCUACCACCUAGCUUAUUCUUUUUAACCUAGGAUGUCUUUUUCACUCACUGUUUCCUACCUGUUUCCUACUAUCUAGGUAGGAUCUUCUUCAAAUACUACCUCCUCAGUCAAUGAGUCCCUAGAACAUAAACUUUUACUUUAAAUCAAAAAGACAUCCUUCUUUUAUCAUCUUUUUAACCUUACCUAUUUGGCAUUCCUAUUAUUUAAGAUACACGGGUGUUAUUCAUUCCGGUAUAGUGGCUACAUGCAUCGUAACCUCUUACCUAUUCUUUAACACCUACCACCACCAUAAUCACUAGCACAAUGCUGUUCAUAUAGGUUGCACUGAAUAUUUUUGAGGUGUACCUCUAGGACCCAGCAAAACUGGGUAUCUGGCACCAAGUCUUCACUGAAUAAUGAAGGAAAGAGAAAAAUAGUCUAUCUGUCCAUGGAUUUACUUCCCUCAAUUUUUCCUCACUCAUCAAAUACCUACCCAAAGUAAAACCACACACUCACUGAAUGCCUACUAUAUGAAAGCAGUAUGCUAAAAAACAAACAAAAAAAACCCCACAAAAACAAAAUGUAUUAUCAUUGCCCAAAAGGAGUUCAUCUCUAUAGAACUGGUUUACGCCAUAAAUUAAUUUUAUACAGUGUAGUAAAAUACAGAAUUAACAAGGUGCUAUAAAAACACAAGACAAAACAAUUUAGACUAAGAUAGGCAUAAAACCUCUGUGAAAAAAGGGGCAACAUCUGGGCUGAAUUGAUAAAAAUGAAUCAAAUUUUACAAGUUAGUGGUGUAGCAGGGCAAGAGUGUCAAGGAAGAGGAGAAAGUAUAGGCAAAGAGAUAUUCAUUCAACAAACAUUUGCUGAAUGUUUACUAAUACUAGACACUAUUCUGCUAUAGGAAUACAUCACUGAAUUAGAGACAAAAAUUCUCACAGAGCUUACAUUCUAGAUUUAAGGCAUAAAAGUAUAAAUGUGCUUGGAGAACAGUAAUCAGAAGUUCAGAGCGGGAAAAUCCUUAAAUCCAACCACCAAAGUAAUGUCUGAAAUCUAGACAAUCUCUAAAUGGCUUUUCAACCUACAAGGAAUCACUAUGCUCCAAUGAAGACCAUUAUGAAAACUUAUUAUACAUAUUAGUGUGAAACCUAUUUAUAAUUCUACCUUGAAACUAUUCCACUAUUAAUCCAAAGUAUGACUAUAUUCCUUUUUAGCAGCCACAUCACAUUUUUUGUUCAUACUGAGUUAUUAAAUUGUUUUUAUUUUUUUCCUUUUAUUGACAUGAGGUCAUGUCUCUUUACCUUAAAUUGAGCUUUUUUUUUUUUUUUCUGUACUCCUUGGAUAACUUACACUUAUUCUUCUUAAAGUUUACCUAGUUGGAUUUGACCCAGAAUUCAAGAGCUAAAGAAAAGUUAAACUAUACUAUAAAUCCUUCAAAUAAUCAGAAAAAUGGGGGAAAGGGGGUUAUAGCAAGGAGAAAAAAAAAUCCAACAUAAAAAAUUUUAACUAAGAAAUUUCAUAAGUAAAACCAGUGAGAUUCUUCAGUUUGAACGCUUCUGGCCUAUAUGGAAUAAAUAUCCCUUCCUACUGUAAAACUCCAAAUAGUAACCUAGGAAUUAGAAGUUCUAAUGCCAGCUCCUCUAUUAAGUAACUAUGUGUAUGGAAUUUAUCAUACCAUUUCCUCAACCUCCCUCCACUUUUCGUCAGUAUGUUUUACUUUUACAUAUCAAGUUCUAUUAGUCAAAAGAAUAACAAAGACAAAUAUUCUCCCCUGCUGUCUUCCUGCAACAAUAAUCAAAGCACAGGUUUCAGAAUAUUACCAGGUUCAUGACAUAUUUUAAAAACAGUAGCUCUGAAGGUUAUGAAAGAUAAAAGGAAACCAUUCCAUCACCCUAACCAAAUCCAAAAAGGAAGGGUGAAUUCCAAAACUGUAAUAUUUUGGAUAUGAUUCAGUGAUACUGAGUACUAUCUCCGAAAUGCAAAUACUGUUUGAAAGCAGACCUGCUAUUAAGAAAUGCACAAUUUUUUAUAGUGAUAAGAUUUCUAAUACUAUAUUAUGUGGUGACAACGAAAAUGGAAAAACUGAAAAUGUAGAAACAUGUGAUAAUGUAUGUGUAAUAUAACUAAGCUUUUCCAAAGUUACUAGAAAGUUAUACGUAUAUUUGGGAGAUGAAGAAUUUGAAAGCAAACAUGGACAAUGAUUUGAAUGAGAUUUCCAUGAUCAGUUUGACAUAAUGUCACUUAAGAGAAAAACCACCAAGACGACAAAAAGAGAUACAAAUAAGUACAAAUGUUAAUGUUCUUUAUUCUUAGAAACUCAUAAAAACUUUCUGAAAAUUGGCAGUUAAAGAUUAAAACAUGCUAGCCUAAUUAUGGUCUUUACAAAAAAUAACAUUUAUUACAGUAAAUACAUUUUAAUGAAAAAUUCCUUGUACUUAGGAAUUAGGUUUCUCAUUAAAAAAAAUGUUUCACAACUAAUUUCCAUGAUUAUGGACAAGUUCCAAAAAUGUACAAAACACUGACAAUUCUGAGAGUGAGAAGAAAAGAACAAAACUUACCACCUCUUCCACUAAGUCUUCAACAAUAAGGCCCUGUUCAUCUGUUCUUAGAUUUGUAACCCACAUCCAUCCAUCUUCUAAUUCAUUAUGAACAAUAAACAUAUCUCCUUUUAGGAAACUGAAAGUGACAAUUAUAAAGUUAUUAAAAUUGAAUUAAAGUUUUAAACAGGGAAAAACGACUAAUCACGUAAUACAAGAGAUACUAUGAUACUGGAAAAUGCAAGAAAUUAAAGUCAAAUACUCUGGAUUUUUGUCCUGUUUCUGGCAUCACCUACAUGUAAAACUUUGAAGCCACUUAACAAUCUGAAUCUUAAUUUCAUCACGUGUAAAUGGUAUCUGCAACACUGGAUUAUCAUUACAUUCAAAAUGGAAUGUUUGUAAACAAUAAUUACAUAUGCAUUACAAGCUUUAGGGUGUAACUCCCAAGAAAACUGACUUAAAAAUGUAAGCUUCUGUGUAAUUAUCUUUCAGAUAUGGUUUAGAUAUAAAAUCAUAAUAUAGUUAAUUCAUUACACAUAAACAAGACACAGUUACUUUGGAAAAACUUUAUUUUGAAUAAGCACCAUUAGUCUAAUCAGCAUAUGUUUAUGAGAAUUAAUAUUUUUCUCAUAAAGAACGUUAAGAUUUAUUUAAUUUACUUAGAUACCCAUGAUACUACAUAGCAUUCUUUUUGUUUGAAAGUGGUAGUAAAGCAUUUGAAAAUGUAUGAAUGUUUUUUCUGUUACAAAUUUCUGAGUAGAGGGAAACACACAAACUAGUUUCUUUUCCUUGGAAUCUAGAUGUUUGCAACCUCCACCAAAUCACAGGAGGAGUAAGUUAGUUUUAUACUGAUGCCGUCUAUCAACAUCAGUAAUUCGCUCAAGUGUCCUUUUAAGCCUGAAUGAAUGCCUAUGAACAUUUAAGGUUUCAAGAUUGAUUGGCUGCUACCAUUAACCCUACAUCUAUAUCCAUGUCUGUCAAAUAUUUUUUUAAAUCAAUUUUCCUUUCAAUCUUAAUUUUCAGAAACCAAACUUCCAUUAAAUAAAUCUUUUCUCAUACUUCUGAAAACCGUUUUUCUCCAGAAUAUCUCAAGCCUGUUUCUUAUACAAAUUCAAGAAAAGAAAACUUGUACACAAUACUUUGGGUGAUCGCUAUGUGAAUGAGCAUGACAUACACUGCAUUCUAUCUUGACACUACAAUCCUUGUUAACAGUGACCAGUAUUUCACUCACUGAUGAGCAGCAGACAGCAGACAUUACCUCUUAGCCAAAUAUGUUAUUUCUUUCUAAAACCAACCUCCUAAACAACUACAUUAAAAAAAUAUUAAUUAUGAGUAAAAAAAGGAAUACAUAUGGACAAGAAGUAAAAGAGAAAGGAGAAGUGACAAGUUACAUUUCUUGGUCAAAAGUAACCAUAAGAGAAUUUGUAUUUUUAAUUUUGACUUUUGUUGUUGCUAGAACACUAUGGUGCAAAAAUGAAAAAAAAAAUUAAAAUAAAAAGCUUACUAGCACAAACAAUACAAUCACAAGAUUCUUUAUGUAUUAUUUUGCAUUCUUCCUCAAAAAAGGUUAAAACGCCUUAUUAAAUCUCAUUAUUCUUCAGAUGUUUUUACCUAAAAACAAAACAAAACAAAAAACUUCACAGAUAUAUACAAAUUUUAAAAGACUUAGGGGCACCUGGCUGGCUCAGUUGGUGGAGCAUGCAACUCUUGAUCUUGGGUGCACAUUCUAAUUUUUGUUUAAAUUUUCAUCUUCCUAGAUCAGUAGUUCUCAGUUUUGAGGUUCUCUUAGGAGCCCUAUAUACUCUUAAAAACUUAAAACCUAAAAGGCUUUGAUUUAUAUAAAUUCUACCCAUUUAGAUUUAUCAUAUUAGAUUUAAAAUAUAAAUGUUUUAAAGUAUUUAGUAAUUCUUAAAAAAAAUACACCCCAUUAUAUAUAACAUAAAGAAUAUGAAAAAUUAUAUUUUUACAAGUUAAUGACAGUAUAUUUCACAUUUUUGCAAAUCUCAACAUCUGUUUCAACUGAAAACUACUCGGUUCUCCUAUUUCUACAUUCAAUCUGUUGCUUUAUGUUUUUUUAUCCGAAGUAUAUGAAGAAAAAUCUGGCCUCACAAAAAAUAUGUAGUCAUGAAAGGGGUAUUUUAAUAGCCUUUGAGAUUACAUAAUUAUAGAUAUUCUAUGACGUAACAGCAAAACCUCAGCAAGUGGUACUUGAAGGUUAGUUGUAAUGUGGACUCUAAAACUGCAGCAAGAACUUUCUGUAUCCCAUUGCAAUAAAAUAUAUUUGUCCAUCUUGCACUCUGAAUGGAUCUUUACCCAGGCAGAAUUCUUUAACAGCGUGCAUUGUUCAUUUAGAAAAUAUUAGUUCACUGACCUAUGUAGACCUUUCAGACAUAAAUACAUUUUACACAAUCAAAACAUCACAUUCUUUAAUAUCACCACCAGUCUCAUCAGAAAAAUCAUGAACUAUUUAUAUUUAGGAAGCUGUCAAACUCCUGAUGGCAGAUACAGGGUUUCUAAAAUCCUCCUUUUUUAUUCCAAGCUCAAAUUUUGUCAUUGGCAAUAAAUACUGCCAGUUAUUUCCCCUGAAGUAACAUAAAACAAUCACUUUACCAAAAAAAAAAAAAAAAGAAAAAAAAGAAAA